CAACAAGGAAGAUUCAUCUGGGGGUGCCACACCUAGAGCCUUGCCCCAUCCCAGUCAAAUCUGGAUGCUGACAUUUUAGGGAAAAACUAGGCUGAUACAUAUUGCUGGGAGGGGAAAAUCUGAUAGAGACCCUAUCAUGUAUAAAUAUAUAAUUUCUAUAAAGAUUUUGUAAGCAAAGCUGAGUUGAAUGAGGGAGUUUCCUGAUGACUUUGAUGAGAACUUUGGAAGAAGUUGAGGAAACUGAGGCCUGGGGAAGUUAAGUCCUUUGCCAAAAGUCAUAUAGAUUGUAAGUAUCAAACCUGGAGUCAGGAAGAUUCAUCUCCCUGAC
RNAcentral lists this long non-coding RNA (328 nucleotides) under Monodelphis domestica (gray short-tailed opossum). RNAcentral describes it as "lncRNA (ENSMODG00000047104.1)". The record is from RNAcentral. Lineage: Eukaryota; Metazoa; Chordata; Mammalia; Didelphimorphia; Didelphidae.